This 307-nucleotide ribosomal RNA is filed under the name uncultured bacterium. Its description in RNAcentral is "partial 16S ribosomal RNA". It matches the Rfam family "Bacterial small subunit ribosomal RNA", at positions 506 to 807 of the family's 1533-position model. The record is from RNAcentral.
AGACAGCAGUCGCCGCGGGAAUACGAAGGGUGCAAGCGUUACUCGGAAUUACUGGGCGUAAAGCGUGCGUAGGUGGUUGUUUAAGUCCGUUGUGAAAGCCCUGGGCUCAACCUGGGAAUUGCAGUGGAUACUGGGCAACUAGAGUGUGGUAGAGGAUAGUGGAAUUUCCGGUGUAGCAGUGAAACGCGUAGAGAUCGGAAGGAACAUCUGUGGCGAAGGCGACUAUCUGGGCCAACACUGACACUGAGGCACGAAAGCGUGGGGAGCAAACAGGAUUAGAUACCCGUGUAGUCCCUGUCUCUUAUAC